UACGAAGGGGGCGCGCGUUGUUCGGAUUUACUGGGCGUAAAGGGCGCGCAGGCGGCUCAUUUUGUCAGGCGUGAAAGCCCCGGGCUUAACCUGGGAACUGCGUUUGAUACGGAUGGGCUAGAGUUCGGGAGAGGAGAGUGGAAUUCCCAGUGUAGAGGUGAAAUUCGUAGAUAUUGGGAAGAACACCGGUGGCGAAGGCGGCUCUCUGGACCGAGACUGACGCUGAGGCGCGAAAGCGUGGGGAGCAAACAGG
Molecule: ribosomal RNA, 253 nt
Filed under: uncultured bacterium
Lineage: Bacteria
Description: partial 16S ribosomal RNA
Rfam family: Bacterial small subunit ribosomal RNA
Source: RNAcentral